GAUGAACGCUGGCGGCAGGCCUAAUACAUGCAAGUCGAACGGUGUCUUCGGACAUAGUGGCGCACGGGUGCGUAACACGUAUGCAACCUACCUUACAUUGGGGGAUAGCCUUUCGAAAGGGAGAUUAAUACCGCAUAAGACAGUAGCUGGGCAUCCAGCAGCUGUUAAAGAUUUAUCGAUGUAAGCUGGGCAUGCAUCCAAUUAGCUAGUUGGUGAGGUAACGGCUCACCAAGGCAAUGAUUGGUAGGGGAACUGAGAGGUCAAUCCCCCACACUGGCACUGAGAUACGGGCCAGACUCCUACGGGAGGCAGCAGUAGGGAAUAUUGGGCAAUGGACGCAAGUCUGACCCAGCCAUGCCGCGUGCAGGAUGAAGGCGUUAUGCGUUGUAAACUGCUUUUAUACAGGAAGAAACGACUCUUGCGAGAGGCAUUGACGGUACUGUAUGAAUAAGCACCGGCUAACUCCGUGCCAGCCGCCGCAGUAA
RNAcentral lists this ribosomal RNA (485 nucleotides) under uncultured bacterium. RNAcentral's name for it is "partial 16S ribosomal RNA". It matches the Rfam family "Bacterial small subunit ribosomal RNA", at positions 28 to 523 of the family's 1533-position model. The record is from RNAcentral.